GCCUGGCUGGCUCAUUUGGAAGAGCAUGUGACUCUUGAUCUCAGGGCUGUGAGUUCAUACCCCAUGUUGGGUG
Molecule: transfer RNA, 73 nt
Filed under: Felis catus (domestic cat)
Lineage: Eukaryota; Metazoa; Chordata; Mammalia; Carnivora; Felidae
Also listed under: 4 other names
Rfam family: tRNA
About the family: Transfer RNA (tRNA) molecules are approximately 80 nucleotides in length.
Source: Rfam by way of RNAcentral